RNAcentral lists this long non-coding RNA (1295 nucleotides) under Mytilus galloprovincialis (Mediterranean mussel). The record is from RNAcentral. Lineage: Eukaryota; Metazoa; Mollusca; Bivalvia; Mytilida; Mytilidae.
GGAAAAAUUGAAAAAUGGGAAAAUCAUCACAAUUGGGUACUUUCAAAGGACUUUAGUAAAAAAGGAAGUGCACCACCAUAUGAUUUUUCUCACCAAUUAUUUUUUUUAAAGCGAUACAUGUAUAUCAACCAAAAAAUCAAGUUUAAGACAAAAAGUUUUAUUCUUGAAAUUGUUUGCUCCUUAGAUGUGUCCAUUUUGGAAAUGCGGUGAGAAAAAUGGUCGGAAUGGGUAAGUGAAAUCAAUUAUGUUAUGUUGGAAGAAUGUCAAUGUUAAAAAAUAAUUGCAAAAUUUUUCAGAAAUCGAAUGUUUUUUCUAGUGGUGGUCUCAGUAUUCAGCCUAUCAACCCAGUUGACCAACUUUGCACCUUGUUGCAAUUACUAAAUUGAGUUUUUGUAAGAAAUUGAGAUUGGACAUUCAGCAAAGAGUACAUCAAUCAGUUUAAUAUUUGUUUUCCUUUAAAUCACAUGAUUUGCCUAUACUUCUAUGGUGGAUUUCGUUGCUGUUAAUGCUUUUAUACUUUGAUGCAAAAAGCCGCAGUAUAUCUUAGGUAUAAUUCUUUUUUUUUUUACUUUAUAUCGUCUUUUUUUUCUAUCUUUUGCAUGUUGUUAUAUCAUUGACACAUUUUGACUGUCUAUUUGAUAUAUGAUUACAUAUAUUCUUAGUAACCUGUGACCUGCGACCACAACUUAUAAUAAUGCCAUGCAUACACACUUAUAAUUAUUAUGUCCCCAAAACUGUUGAAUUGAUACUUAAACGUUAAAAUCAUCUCUACAGUAAUUUUGAAAUUUGACAUAAUUUCUCAUUCAUACUAACAAUAGAUAUAUAACGAUGUAGGAGUUUUCCAUUUUUGUGAUUUACAUUUCCGAUUUCAGAUAUUACCUGAACCUUGGAUCUUACUGUGUUAUUUUUUUUUUUUAUCUCACCUGCUUACAGGGUCAAGUGAGUUUUUCUCAUCACUUGGCGUCCGUCGUUCGUCUGCGCCCAUUAACUUUUACACAUCUCUUCUCCUCUGCAACUACUGUGCAAGUAUGAACCAAACUUGACCACAAUAUUCAUUGGUGUUUUUGAAGAAAACAGACAGUUAAAAAACAUGUAUCUAAUGGCCCCGUUUGCCGAUCAACAUUGCCGACAUGGAUAAACAUACAGUAUAGGGGUGAAAUGCAUACUAUUUUGAAAACUAUUACAGACUUUGAAACCGUUACAGACUUUGAAAACCGUUACAGGCUGAAUUCAUACAGGAACUUCUUUGGAAGAAAGAUAAGAAGUUAGCAAUAUCCUUUAACUUUACUUUCCGC